Molecule: ribosomal RNA, 372 nt
Filed under: uncultured bacterium
Lineage: Bacteria
Description: bacterial SSU rRNA
Rfam family: Bacterial small subunit ribosomal RNA
Source: RNAcentral
AACGCUAGCUACAGGCUUAACACAUGCAAGUCGAGGGGUAACAGGGAGCUUGCUCUGCUGACGACCGGCGCACGGGUGAGUAACGCGUAUGCAACCUACCCAUAUUUGGGGGAUAACCCGGAGAAAUUCGGAUUAACACCGCAUAACACUGCAGGAAGGCAUCUUCUCAGCAGUUAAAUAUUUAUAGAAUAUGGAUGGGCAUGCGUCUGAUUAGUUUGUUGGUGAGGUAAUGGCUCACCAAGACUACGAUCAGUAGGGGUUCUGAGAGGAAGGUCCCCCACACUGGUACUGAGACACGGACCAGACUCCUACGGGAGGCAGCAGUGAGGAAUAUUGGUCAAUGGGCGAGAGCCUGAACCAGCCAAGUAGCGU